RNAcentral lists this ribosomal RNA (585 nucleotides) under uncultured bacterium. Its description in RNAcentral is "bacterial SSU rRNA". It matches the Rfam family "Bacterial small subunit ribosomal RNA", at positions 338 to 916 of the family's 1533-position model. The record is from RNAcentral.
CCUACGGGAGGCAGCAGUGGGGAAUUUUGGACAAUGGGCGAAAGCCUGAUCCAGCAAUGCCGCGUGCAGGAAGAAGGCCUUCGGGUUGUAAACUGCUUUUGUACGGAACGAAAAGGUCUGCCCUAAUACGGCGGGCCCAUGACGGUACCGUAAGAAUAAGCACCGGCUAACUACGUGCCAGCAGCCGCGGUAAUACGUAGGGUGCGAGCGUUAAUCGGAAUUACUGGGCGUAAAGCGUGCGCAGGCGGUGAUGUAAGACAGUUGUGAAAUCCCCGGGCUCAACCUGGGAAUUGCAUCUGUGACUGCAUCGCUAGAGUACGGUAGAGGGGGAUGGAAUUCCGCGUGUAGCAGUGAAAUGCGUAGAUAUGCGGAGGAACACCGAUGGCGAAGGCAAUCCCCUGGACCUGUACUGACGCUCAUGCACGAAAGCGUGGGGAGCAAACAGGAUUAGAUACCCUGGUAGUCCACGCCCUAAACGAUGUCAACUGGUUGUUGGGUGCAUUAGUACUCAGUAACGAAGCUAACGCGUGAAGUUGACCGCCUGGGGAGUACGGCUGCAAGGUUGAAACUCAAAGGAAUUGACGG